AAAUAGAGUCAUAAGAAUUAACCUAGAACACAACAAUACCAUACACCUUAGAUGUCAUUCACCCAGAAUAUGUACAAAUCAUAAUAGUUCAAAUUUAAAUACAAUGAUAAAAGUUCACCCUAGAAUAUACAACGAAUUAGACAAUAAAACACAAUGUAAUGCAGAAACACAGCCUAAUCAUAAACAUAUGAGUCGAUACUAUGCUUAAAGCUCCAUAUUCCAUUUCAUACUUCAUAUUCAGUAGAGUCCAGGAAUAUGUACCUGGAUGUCAACAGAAACAAAGGAAAUGAAAAGAAAACUCAGUAGUAGCAGAAUCAGCUUAAAGUCCGAGCAAUUCCAAAAAAAAGACAACUUCUUCAAACCAGUAGAGAACCAAAAUAAACACCCAUCUUUGAAGACUCAAAUACUCUGAUCAAUUAGAAAGUUUUAAAGUAGAAUUGAACCAAUUUUGACCAAACAAAUGCAGGAAUUUCAGUGUUCUUUCAAAGCUUUUCAAACUCAGCCAUUUUUUAAUUUUUAGUUUUCUUCAAUCCCUCCAAUUCUGACUUGAUAGUGAAGAAACAAAGACCUUUACAGAGAGCAAUUA
RNAcentral lists this long non-coding RNA (586 nucleotides) under Nicotiana benthamiana. RNAcentral describes it as "long non-coding RNA (NBEN_LNC012525)". Lineage: Eukaryota; Viridiplantae; Streptophyta; Magnoliopsida; Solanales; Solanaceae. The record is from RNAcentral.